RNAcentral lists this long non-coding RNA (720 nucleotides) under Homo sapiens (human). RNAcentral describes it as "HSALNT0116316". The record is from RNAcentral. Lineage: Eukaryota; Metazoa; Chordata; Mammalia; Primates; Hominidae.
UGUGCCUCCCUGAAGGCUGAAGAUUUCCCUGGAACUGUUGGCUGUCGGGGGUCGGUGUUGGUGGCGGAGUGUUCUGGGGGGCUUGAAAUAGCCGUGUGUGCCUGUGUGAACCAGUGUGUGACUGUGUGCACCUGCAUGUACAACUGAGUAGGAGUGAGUGUGAGCGAAUGAGAGUGUGGAUGACUGUGUGAAAGUGAGUGUAUGUAUGAAUGACAGUGACUGUGUGUGUGUAAGACUGAGUGUGAGUGUGAGUGGAGUUUGAGCAAAUGAGAGUGUGAAUGAGUAUGUGAAAGUGAGUGUGAGUGUGUGUAUGAAUGAGUGACUGGGUGUAUGAGCGUGAAUGUGUGUGUAAGACUGAGUGUAUGAGUGUGAGUGUGUAUGCGUGUGAGUGUAAGACUGAGUUUAUGAGCGAGUGUGUGUAUGCAUGUGAGCGUGUAUGUGUGUUAGUGGGUGUCUAUGUGUGUUAGUGAGUGCGUAUGCAUGUGAGUGAGAGAGUGUGUGUGCAGUGGUUAACAUCUCACAGACAUUUCCUGGCCACACAAAGGACAUCGAGGAGUCCGGGAUCCUAACUGAAGCUGGAUGGGAACGGCCGAGAUAGACUCUAUCGAGUCAGGCAUGUUGAGUGAUGCUCACAUUUAGUCUUGACCGCGGUCAGUCCUGCAUGGCAGGCAUCCUCACAAACUCCGUACAGGUGAGGAAACAAAACAGAAGAGAUUAAGU